CUCCCAAUACCGUGCGGGGGGACUAGGACGACCCUGGUAAGUCAGCCACAGGAUAUCAGUUCUCAGAAUAGAAGAGAAGCCAGGUCUGGCAGCACCUGAUGAUGCAUUUCCAAUUAAUCUUGGAAUGAGAGCCGAGGGCAAGAAGCCAGCGGUGCCUGAGGGAUGCUAAAGAGCCAACCGAUCCAGGGAAACAAAUGCCAGCGAGGGACCCCACAGCAAAGAGACAGACACUGUGAGCAACUCUCCUGUUACCAUGAGGCUUGCGAGGCGUGUGUGCGGGUCUCCGCAUUGGCACCAUCUGCCAAUUCCUCAGGAGGACAGAACAAACCAGUGAGGCAUGAAGAUUAGAUUAUGUAACGCUCGAGGAUUGCUGUUUUCAAAGAGGAAACAAAUGGAAUGAAUUGAUUUGCUUGUCAAAGUCAUGUCACUAAAGGAGAUCUAUUCCCUCCCCUUCUAAGAGGACCUCAUUAAAGAGUGGAAUGAUUUCACAGAUUCA
Long non-coding RNA from Homo sapiens (human), 496 nucleotides. Ensembl annotates it as CABP1 divergent transcript. Its record names the gene CABP1-DT. NCBI's taxonomy places the organism in Eukaryota, Metazoa, Chordata, Mammalia, Primates, Hominidae. The record is from Ensembl.